UGGAGGCAGCAGUGAGGAAUAUUGGACAAUGGGCGCAAGCCUGAUCCAGCCAUGCCGCGUGCAGGAAGACGCAUCUAUGGUGUGUAAACUGCUUUUGUACGGGAAGAAACACUCCUACGUGUAGGAGCUUGACGGUACCGUAAGAAUAAGGAUCGGCUAACUCCGUGCCAGCAGCCGCGGUAAUACGGAGGAUCCAAGCGUUAUCCGGAAUCAUUGGGUUUAAAGGGUCCGUAGGCGGUUUAAUAAGUCAGUGGUGAAAGCCCAUCGCUCAACGAUGGAACGGCCAUUGAUACUGUUAGACUUGAAUUAUUAGGAAGUAACCAGAAUAUGUAGUGUAGCGGUGAAAUGCUUAGAUAUUACAUGGAAUACCAAUUGCGAAGGCAGGUUACUACUAAUACAUUGACGCUGAGGGACGAAAGCGUGGGGAGCGAACAGGAUUAGAUACCCCGGUAGC
This 454-nucleotide ribosomal RNA is filed under the name uncultured bacterium. RNAcentral's name for it is "bacterial SSU rRNA". It matches the Rfam family "Bacterial small subunit ribosomal RNA", at positions 343 to 794 of the family's 1533-position model. The record is from RNAcentral.